AAGAAGUUUACUGGAACAGUAGAACUGGAAGUGCUGGUCCUGCUGGAGCCUCGUAUGUCAUUUUUUUUGUUAUAGUUUCUAUUUUUGUAGUGCUGUCAAUUCUUGCAUCUUAGAUGUUUGACAAAAUGUUUGUUCACAAAAUGUUUGUUCACAUCUUAUAGUACUCACUCAAAAUUGUUUGCUUAUGAACAAAUGAACAAUUGUAAUAUAUUGGAGCAAAUCUAUUU
This 227-nucleotide long non-coding RNA is filed under the name Actinidia chinensis (golden kiwifruit). RNAcentral describes it as "long non-coding RNA (ACHI_LNC001768)". The record is from RNAcentral. Lineage: Eukaryota; Viridiplantae; Streptophyta; Magnoliopsida; Ericales; Actinidiaceae.